ACGUCUUCUUCGAGCGUUAUCCGGAUUUACUGGGCGUAAAGCGCGUGCAGGCGGUGCGAUAAGUCGUGCGUGGAAGCUCCCAGGCUUAACCGGGAGAGGACGUGCGAGACUGUCGGACUAGAGGCAGGUAGAGGCAAGUGGAAUUCCGGGUGUAGUGGUGGAAUGCGUAGAGAUCGGGAGGAACACCAGAGGCGCGAGCGGGUGCCUGGGCGACGACUGACACUGAGGGACGAAAGCGUGGGGAGCGAACAG
RNAcentral lists this ribosomal RNA (252 nucleotides) under uncultured prokaryote. Its description in RNAcentral is "partial 16S ribosomal RNA". It matches the Rfam family "Bacterial small subunit ribosomal RNA", at positions 525 to 775 of the family's 1533-position model. The record is from RNAcentral.